Long non-coding RNA from Mus musculus (house mouse), 553 nucleotides. RefSeq annotates it as predicted gene, 34797. Lineage: Eukaryota; Metazoa; Chordata; Mammalia; Rodentia; Muridae. The transcript has 4 exons. The record is from RefSeq and is a predicted model, not a curated record.
AGAGCAUCUCCAGUCUGCCACCUCCUAACUGAAGAGAUGGAAAGGAGGAAGUGAAUAUAAGGCGCAUGCUUCUCUUCAGCCAGCACUUCGAGCCAGAACUGGCACAGUGAUGAGCCAGACCACACUAAGACCAGGACCUCUUUACCUAUGUGUUCCUGUUGCCCCUUCUUCCCAGCCUGAAGCUCAUGCCAGUGCUCUGGAGGCUGACCUGAGGCAGGGAGUCACUGGCCACUUGUUCUUCUUUGGGAUGUAGUCACAUUGGGGCAGUAUUGGUGUUCUAGCCAAGUCUAGAGAGAAUAGCAACCAGAUUUGCUCAGAGGGACCAACUUCAAAUUUGCAUCUGAAAGUGCCCAAGGCAAACAGCGGAGGCAGCGUUUACGCCCGGAGAGAGGCCUUGAAUGCAUCCUUGAGGGCGGUCUGUCUGAGGUCUCUGCCUUCCUGCAAGAGAAUUCUGGAUUUAGAACUAACUCUCACCCCUUCCAGAGUAUCCCCAUCAUAGAUGAAAUAUCCUAUUCAUUUGGGAAUCACAAUACAUUUUUCAUUUCCGUAAUCU